This 525-nucleotide ribosomal RNA is filed under the name uncultured Entrophospora. Its description in RNAcentral is "SSU rRNA". It matches the Rfam family "Eukaryotic small subunit ribosomal RNA", at positions 569 to 1087 of the family's 1831-position model. The record is from RNAcentral. Lineage: Eukaryota; Fungi; Glomeromycota; Glomeromycetes; Entrophosporales; Entrophosporaceae.
AGCAGCCGCGGUAAUUCCAGCUCCAAUAGCGUAUAUUAAAGUUGUUGCAGUUAAAAAGCUCGUAGUUGAAUUUCGGGAUUGACACAUCGGUCGUGCCUUAAGGGGUAUGAACUGGUGUAGUCAAUUUCUCACCUUCUGGAGAACCGCGAUGUCCUUAAUUGGGUGCCGCGAGGAACCAGGACCUUUACUUUGAAAAAAUUAGAGUGUUUAAAGCAGGCAUUUUUGCUUGAAUACAUUAGCAUGGAAUAAUAAAAUAGGACGGCAUGAUUCUAUUUUGUUGGUUUCUAGGAUCACCGUAAUGAUUAAUAGGGAUAGUUGGGGGCAUUAGUAUUCAAUUGUCAGAGGUGAAAUUCUUGGAUUUAUUGAAGACUAACUACUGCGAAAGCAUUUUGCCAAGGAUGUUUUCAUUAAUCAAGAACGAAGGUUAAGGGAUCGAAGACGAUCAGAUACCGUCGUAGUCUUAACCAUAAACUAUGCCGACUAGGAAUCAGACGAUGUUAAUUUUUUAAUGACUCGUUUGGCACC